CUUCAUUAACAGAAGAAAUGGGGGCUUGAGAAGGCCUAAGCAACUUGCUCAAGGUCGUGUGGUAUAAGAGGCAGAGGUGAACUUUGAUAUCAGGAUUGUAGGACUCAAGGUCUGUACUGGAUCCGCUGUUUGGAGACAGAAACAGGAGUCCUGUGCCCCGGGCCGGUGGGAUGUUGACAGCUCCUUUGGUUGUCGAGGCGGCUGGGCUGAGCACAUGGCGGCAUUGGGAGGGCCUGCAGGAAGACUCAUUUCCUGACUGACUGACAAACAGAG
This 273-nucleotide long non-coding RNA is filed under the name Homo sapiens (human). RNAcentral's name for it is "HSALNT0182119". Lineage: Eukaryota; Metazoa; Chordata; Mammalia; Primates; Hominidae. The record is from RNAcentral.